GCUUUGGAGACAGACUCCAUGUUGCUGGCCAAGUCAUCAAUCUCCAUCUUCAGCUCACUCUUCUCCUUCUCCAGCUUCUGCUUGACUCGUUGCAGGUUGUCGAUCUGCUCCCCAAGCUCCGCUGUGCUGUCCGCAUGCUUCUUCCGCAGGGCAGCAGCCGUGGCUUCGUGCUGCAGCGUGGCCUCUUCGAGGUCACGGCGCAUCUUCUGAAAUUCUGCCUCACGCUUCUUGUUCAUAUCAAUCUGAGCUGCUGUAGCCCCUCCUGCUUCCUCCAGGCGCUCACUGAUCUCCUCCAGCUCCCUGGAGAGGUCAGCUCGGUGCUUCUCUGCUUUUGCCCGAGAGGUUCGCUCUGCCUCGAUUUCCUCCUCCAGUUCCUCAAUACGGGCCUG
This 389-nucleotide long non-coding RNA is filed under the name Gallus gallus (chicken). The record is from RNAcentral. Lineage: Eukaryota; Metazoa; Chordata; Aves; Galliformes; Phasianidae.